Papaver somniferum (opium poppy) is the source of this 563-nucleotide long non-coding RNA. RefSeq lists it as uncharacterized. NCBI's taxonomy places the organism in Eukaryota, Viridiplantae, Streptophyta, Magnoliopsida, Ranunculales, Papaveraceae. The transcript has 2 exons. The record is from RefSeq and is a predicted model, not a curated record.
AUAACAUUCUCCUUUCAAUUUCAGAUCCUAAAUUUUUCUCUCUCUUCUCUUUGUUCCUCUUUCAACAUCACUAGAUUCAUAACCACCUCCGCCAUCGCCACCACCCAUCGCCGCCACCACCCAUCGGCGUCGCGACGAACAGAUUGAUCAUCCAAGAACAUCAGUUUGGAGAGAAGAUUGGUGUACUUGUUGGUAGAGUUAGUGAUUAUGUAAGGAUGGUAGACCCAGUACCAAACAUGAAGAUUGUUGCGUUGAGGUUUAAUGAGACUGCUAGAGUUAGGAUUUUGAAAGUUGGUGGAAAGUGUUUGACCUUUGAUCAGCUUGCUCUUAGAGUUCCUCUUGGAAAAAACACGAUAUGUUUGUUUAAGAUCUUGAUUCAUUUGUGUAUUUUGGUUUUGUCAUUGUUGUAUGAUAUUUGGAUGGAUUUGGUACAGAUGGAAUUAUUUUUAGUUCUUUAAUCUUUUUACCCUGGGUAUGUUGUGAUUUAUUUGAGAUGGAAAUGAUGAUUGAACUGUUUUCAAAGGUUUGUUAAAAUUGUAUUGGCAUAUAGUUGACACACACAA